AAAGGGGGGGAGGGGGGUUAGAUAGGGAGAGCGAGGGAAGGAGAAAAGGAGAGGGGUGAGAGAGAGAGAAGGAGAGAGAAGAAGAGUGCAAAAGAGCUAGAAAGGCAGAACAUUAGAAAAAUGAAGAAAGAUAAAGAAAGAUGGAGGGAGAAAAAGACAGAGACAGGCAGGAAUCUGCCUGGAUUUUUGAUCCUGCCUGGGCAGAACUCGGCUGUGAUCACAACAUUAAUAUUCAUGAACUCGGCCCCUCACAUCCCAACUCAGACCCCCUCCCCACACCCUCUCCCCCACCACCCUUUCUCCCCCUCACCCAAUCCCACUCCAUUGGGUGGCAACACUUGGUAGUGCCACAUGGUGAGACAGCUGUUGCAGGCCAACAUGGGCAUCUGUGCCCACUACAGAGAGAGAGAGUUCAGGCGAGGAAGGAGGCAGGCGUGGGGUGGCAUCAGUUGGGCCAGGGCAGGGCAGGGAGAGAUAGGCCAUCAGUGGGCCAGGGCAGGGCAGGGCAGGGAGAGAUAGGCCAUCAGUGGGCCAGGACAUUGAGGGCAGGGAGAGCAGGGAGAGAGGGAGACGACCCUGAUGCAACCUGAGGCCUGGACUGAAGGAGAGAUAAGGGAGAGAGAGGGGUAUAAUCACCCAAUUCCAGCCUGUAUGGUGAAAAGUACAGAGAUGGAAAGAGAGGGGGGUAGUUGUGCCAUAAGCAUCCGAUGCCAGCUGUGGGUAAAAGGUAGAGUGACAGAGACAUUGAAAAAGAGAGAGGGGGGGUGAGAGACAGGGAAAGAGAGAGAGCGAGAGAGACUGGGAAAAAGAGGGAGAGAGAGGGAGAAAGUAUCAGGGAAAAAGAGGGAGAGAGAGGGAGAAAGAGACAGGGAAAAAAGAGCGAGAGACAGGGAAAGAGAGAGAGCGAGAAAGACUGGGAGAAAGAGGGAGAGAUAGAGACUGGGAGAAAGAGGGAGAGAGAGGGCAUCACAAGCAUCCCAUGCCAGCUUGUUAUGGGUGAGAAGUAGCACCUGUCCUUUAAGAGCAGAGUGGAGCAUUAGCAUGAUAAAACCAUCCAUACUCCCAGUCCCAUGUGAAGUGUUGAGUUCUCUCAAUACAUACACUAACAACCCCAUCCAUUCCCUCUCUCUCUCUGUGUCUUUCUCUCAUCUCCCCACACCCCCUCGCUCUAUCUCUAUAUCUCCCCCUCUCUCUUCAUCCCUCUUUCUCUAACACCCCAACACCUCCCCAUCCCUCCCUCCCUGAUAUCUACAGAGGGCAUGGGACCAUUCCCAGGGUGAUUAUCCCAUGCCAGGUGCCCCCUCCUCCCCCUCUCCUUUCCUCACUCCCUCAGCCCCACCACACACCCUUGCCAUUUCAUUUCCCUCUCCCCCC
This is a long non-coding RNA of Oncorhynchus tshawytscha (Chinook salmon), 1374 nucleotides long. Lineage: Eukaryota; Metazoa; Chordata; Actinopteri; Salmoniformes; Salmonidae. The record is from Ensembl.